This 253-nucleotide ribosomal RNA is filed under the name uncultured bacterium. Its description in RNAcentral is "partial 16S ribosomal RNA". It matches the Rfam family "Bacterial small subunit ribosomal RNA", at positions 524 to 776 of the family's 1533-position model. The record is from RNAcentral.
UACGGAGGGUGCAAGCGUUAAUCGGAAUUACUGGGCGUAAAGCGUGCGCAGGCGGUGAUGUAAGACAGGUGUGAAAUCCCCGGGCUUAACCUGGGAACUGCAUUUGUGACUGCAUCGCUGGAGUGCGGCAGAGGGGGAUGGAAUUCCGCGUGUAGCAGUGAAAUGCGUAGAUAUGCGGAGGAACACCGAUGGCGAAGGCAAUCCCCUGGGCCUGCACUGACGCUCAUGCACGAAAGCGUGGGGAGCAAACAGG